UGGUAAUUACCAAGGCUUUCAGAAGGCACUUUCUCAUUUGCUGUGGACAGAGCGUUUUCCCACUAGGUUUUCUUUCUGCUACAUUGCUAGCAUUCAGACUACUGGGGACAUUU
Small nucleolar RNA from Myotis lucifugus (little brown bat), 113 nucleotides. Ensembl annotates it as small nucleolar RNA SNORA32. NCBI's taxonomy places the organism in Eukaryota, Metazoa, Chordata, Mammalia, Chiroptera, Vespertilionidae. The record is from Ensembl.